GAACUCUGGUAUUGAUUGGUGCUUGCAUCAUGAUUUACAUUUGAGUGAGUGGCGAACUGGUGAGUAACACGUGGGAAACCUGCCCAGAAGCGGGGGAUAACACCUGGAAACAGAUGCUAAUACCGCAUAACAACUUGGACCGCAUGGUCCGAGCUUGAAAGAUGGCUUCGGCUAUCACUUUUGGAUGGUCCCGCGGCGUAUUAGCUAGAUGGUGGGGUAACGGCUCACCAUGGCAAUGAUACGUAGCCGACCUGAGAGGGUAAUCGGCCACAUUGGGACUGAGACACGGCCCAAACUCCUACGGGAGGCAGCAGUAGGGAAUCUUCCACAAUGGACGAAAGUCUGAUGGAGCAACGCCGCGUGAGUGAAGAAGGGUUUCGGCUCGUAAAACUCUGUUGUUAAAGAAGAACAUAUCUGAGAGUAACUGUUCAGGUAUUGACGGUAUUUAACCAGAAAGCCACGGCUAACUACGUGCCAGCAGCCGCGGUAAUACGUAGGUGGCAAGCGUUGUCCGGAUUUAUUGGGCGUAAAGCGAGCGCAGGCGGUUUUUUAAGUCUGAUGUGAAAGCCUUCGGCUCAACCGAAGAAGUGCAUCGGAAACUGGGAAACUUGAGUGCAGAAGAGGACAGUGGAACUCCAUGUGUAGCGGUGAAAUGCGUAGAUAUAUGGAAGAACACCAGUGGCGAAGGCGGCUGUCUGGUCUGUAACUGACGCUGAGGCUCGAAAGUAUGGGUAGCAAACAGGAUUAGAUACCCUGGUAGUCCAUACCGUAACGAUGAAUGCUAAGUGUUGGAGGGUUUCCGCCCUUCAGUGCUGCAGCUAACGCAUUAAGCAUUCCGCCUGGGGAGUACGGCCGCAAGGCUGAAACUCAAAGGAAUUGACGGGGGCCCGCACAAGCGGUGGAGCAUGUGGUUUAAUUCGAAGCUACGCGAAGAACCUUACCAGGUCUUGACAUACUAUGCAAAUCUAAGAGAUUAGACGUUCCCUUCGGGACAUGGAUACAGGUGGUGCAUGGUGUCGUCAGCUCGUGUCGUGAAGAUGU
RNAcentral lists this ribosomal RNA (1041 nucleotides) under Lactiplantibacillus plantarum. Its description in RNAcentral is "bacterial SSU rRNA". It matches the Rfam family "Bacterial small subunit ribosomal RNA", at positions 64 to 1075 of the family's 1533-position model. The record is from RNAcentral. Lineage: Bacteria; Bacillati; Bacillota; Bacilli; Lactobacillales; Lactobacillaceae.